AAAACGUGAACGGCAGGAUUCGAACCUGCGCGGGCAAAGCCCACAUGAUUUCUAGUCAUGCCCGAUAACCACUCCGGCACGUCAACUUCUUGUUGAACUUUUUCUAAAUUAUAAAUAUAUUCUAUAAUAGAGCAAAUAAAAUUGGGCUUAGUGAAAGAGGAUACAGACAGACACAACCUAUCUUUCUUUGUAAUGCUUCCCUUGAUUCUUGACUUGACCAAAUCUCUCUUCUCUCUCUCUCUCUCCACCGAAUCUCACCGGCGAUCUUCGCUUCCUCACCCACAAAUCUGAUUCCUCUCCAACACUCUUACCAGAUAAACUUUGAGCUUCUAGGGAUCAGAUUUUGAUCUUGUUAUGAGAAGGAAGAAGAAUGGCGACUCAGGUUGAUCCACCAAACGGAGUCAAGAAUCAAGGGAAGCAUUACUUCUCAAUGUGGCAAACACUCUUCGAGAUCGACACAGAAUACGUCUCUAUCACACCUAUAGGCCGAGGAGCAUCUGGUGUAGUCUGCUCAUCUGUUAACACAGAGAGUGGCGAUCAAUAAGAUCCACAAUGUGUUUGAGAUAUGAUGUUCUGACCACUGUCAAUACUUCUGGUUUCAGUUACUUUGAGGGCUUAAGUAUAUUCAUUCAGCCAACUUUCUCCAUCGGGAUUUGAAACCAGGGGAUAUCAUUUUCACGUUUUUACCCGAAUUCGCAUGUUCUAGCAUUGAUCUGCUUCAGAAGAUGCUCGUUCUUGACCCACCCAUCUAAGAGGAUUAGUGUCACGGAAGCGCUUCAGCAUCCUUACUUGGCGCCUUUAUAUGACCCGAGUUCAAAUCCUCCUGCUGAAGUUCCUAUUGAUCUUGAUGUAGAUGUAGAUGAAGACGAGGAUUUGGGGGCACUUUUGUGAAAUCGGUUUUGAAAUCUUAAUGUAGUAUCUUUGGAAAUACUAUAUUUAUACGUGUACACAAAAUCUGUUGCAUCUUGAAGUGUCUUAAAUCUGUGUGCACCAGUAAAAGCUCAACAUUCGUUGGGUCGUACAUAGUAUGUAUUCCUCCUAUAAAAAAAAGUAAAUCGGGUUUUGAAGCUGCUAUAAAUACGAGUCUAAGGAUUUGUAAGAUAUUCAUUCACAUAAUAAUAAGAAACCUUAAACGGGUAUUUGCCUCAA
Long non-coding RNA from Brassica napus (rape), 1149 nucleotides. RefSeq lists it as uncharacterized. The record is from RefSeq and is a predicted model, not a curated record. The transcript has 4 exons. Lineage: Eukaryota; Viridiplantae; Streptophyta; Magnoliopsida; Brassicales; Brassicaceae.